Haliotis rubra (blacklip abalone) is the source of this 725-nucleotide long non-coding RNA. RefSeq lists it as uncharacterized. The record is from RefSeq and is a predicted model, not a curated record. Lineage: Eukaryota; Metazoa; Mollusca; Gastropoda; Lepetellida; Haliotidae. The transcript is spliced from 2 exons.
AAUGACAAAGACAGGUGUGAAUCACAGAGAGAGGUGUGAAUGACAAAGACAGGUGUGAAUCAGAGAGAGGGGUGUGAAUGACAAAGACAGGUGUGAAUGAGAGAGAUGGGUGUGAAUGACAAAGACAGGUGUGAAUGAGAGAGAGGGUGUGAAUGACAAAGACAGGUGUGAAUCAGAGAGAGGGGUGUGAAUGACAAAGACAGGUGUGAAUCACAGAGAUGGGUGUGAAUGACAAAGACAGGUGUGAAUGAGAGAGAUGGGUGUGAAUGACAAAGACAGGUGUGAAUCAGAGAGAGAUGGGUGUGAAUGACAAAGACAGGUGUGAAUCAGAGAGAGGGGUGUGAAUGACAAAGACAGGUGUGAAUCACAGAGAUGGGUGUGAAUGACAAAGACAGGUGUGAAUGAGAGAGAGGGGUGUGAAUGACAAAGACAGGUGUGAAUCACAGAGAGGGGUGUGAAUGACAAAGACAGGUGUGAAUCAGAGAGAGGGGUGUGAAUGACAAAGACAGGUGUGAAUCAGAGAGAUGGUGUGAAUGACAAAGACAGGUGUGAAUCACAGAGAUGGGUGUGAAUGACAAAGACAGGUGUGAAUGAGAGAGAUGGGUGUGAAUGACAAAGACAGGUGUGAAUCACAGAGAGAGGUGUGAAUGACAAAGACAGGUGUGAAUGAGAGAGAGGGGUGUGAAUGACAAAGACAGGUGUGAAUGAGAGAGAGGGGUGUGAAU